Molecule: long non-coding RNA, 274 nt
Filed under: Nicotiana benthamiana
Lineage: Eukaryota; Viridiplantae; Streptophyta; Magnoliopsida; Solanales; Solanaceae
Description: long non-coding RNA (NBEN_LNC009086)
Source: RNAcentral
ACCCCUACACGAAAGGGCAGAGAGGCUGUUUCCAAUCGACCCUCGGCUCAGUGAAGGGAAGGAACAACAAAAACACAAACAAAAACAAAAACAAAAGAGCAUUAGUAACUCCAGCAGAAAUAGCGUAAAUAAUUAUCUAAACAUAAGAACCAUAAAUAAAAUAGCAUGCAAUAAUAUCAUACAGUAACUACCAUAAAUAACUUCCAUAAGGGAGACACAAUCCAAUACACAAAUCAUCUAUGGAUAGCCCUGCCAAGCCUCACCCAACUCCGGG